RNAcentral lists this transfer RNA (88 nucleotides) under Candidatus Methanomethylicaceae archaeon. Its description in RNAcentral is "tRNA-Leu". It matches the Rfam family "tRNA". Rfam says of the family: Transfer RNA (tRNA) molecules are approximately 80 nucleotides in length. The record is from RNAcentral. Lineage: Archaea; Thermoproteati; Thermoproteota; Methanosuratincolia; Candidatus Methanomethylicales; Candidatus Methanomethylicaceae.
GCGGGGGUUCCCUAGCCAGGUUAAAGGGGAAGGACUCAAGAUCCUUUGGCGUAGGUCUUCGAGGGUUCAAAUCCCUCCCCCCGCACCA